This 555-nucleotide ribosomal RNA is filed under the name Salmonella enterica subsp. enterica serovar Indiana. RNAcentral's name for it is "partial 23S ribosomal RNA". It matches the Rfam family "Bacterial large subunit ribosomal RNA", at positions 2371 to 2925 of the family's 2925-position model. The record is from RNAcentral. Lineage: Bacteria; Pseudomonadati; Pseudomonadota; Gammaproteobacteria; Enterobacterales; Enterobacteriaceae.
GACUGCGAGACCUACAAGUCGAGCAGGGACGAAAGUCGGGCUUAGUGAUCCGGUGGUUCCGCAUGGAAGGGCCAUCGCUCAACGGAUAAAAGCUACCCCGGGGAUAACAGGCUUAUCUCCCCCAAGAGUCCACAUCGACGGGGAGGUUUGGCACCUCGAUGUCGGCUCAUCGCAUCCUGGGGCUGUAGUCGGUCCCAAGGGUUGGGCUGUUCGCCCAUUAAAGCGGUACGCGAGCUGGGUUCAGAACGUCGUGAGACAGUUCGGUCCCUAUCCGUCGCGGGCGCAGGAAAUUUGAGAGGAGCUGUCCUUAGUACGAGAGGACCGGGAUGGACGCACCGCUGGUGUACCAGUUGUUCUGCCAAGGGCAUCGCUGGGUAGCUAUGUGCGGACGGGAUAAGUGCUGAAAGCAUCUAAGCAUGAAGCCCCCCUCAAGAUGAGAUUUCCCAUUCCGCAAGGAAGUAAGAUCCCUGAAAGAUGAUCAGGUUGAUAGGUCUGAGGUGGAAGUGUGGCGACACAUGGAGCUGACAGAUACUAAUCGAUCGAGGACUUAACCUA